Long non-coding RNA from Centrocercus urophasianus (Greater sage-grouse), 712 nucleotides. RefSeq lists it as uncharacterized. The record is from RefSeq and is a predicted model, not a curated record. The transcript is spliced from 2 exons. NCBI's taxonomy places the organism in Eukaryota, Metazoa, Chordata, Aves, Galliformes, Phasianidae.
UCGCUCGGGGCUGCAGGAGGACGAAGCUCCAGCCCUGCGCUACCGGGGCUCCGAGAGGCCGGAGGGCUCGGGCCCGGUUCCAGCACCGCCUCGCACGUCCGUCCUUUCCUCCGCACGUUCCAGCGCGCGAGGUUUAAUUCUUCCAUGAGAACGCACGCGGAGGAGUUGCUGUAAUCGCCACCAAACACUGCUUCUCCACACCGCAAAUAUGUACCCAGCUGUGCUCCACUUGUCCAACCAUCUUGGUAAGAGGGGGUUUUGGAUCCCUUAACUUGCUCCUUUUCCCAUUCCAGCACUCUGAGUGAAGGAUGCAGCACGAUCUUCACGCAGAAGGCAGCGCAGGGCUCCGUCCCUCUAUCUGCAGCACAGGCUUCAUAGGAUUUUAUUUCCAAGCCUUUCUGGAAUUGCCUUCUGCCUGCAACUUCGCUCUCAUUUUCUCCUGUUCCUUCAACUCGGAGCUGCUUUUUUUUUGUGUGCUCUGCUCUAGCUGGCAGAAGGUCCCUGCGACACUCCUGUACGGAGCACCCAUGACACAACUUCUGCACAAUGAUCCACUGAAGCAGAACGGCAAUAUUUAAAGGGAAAACACCAAGAACAUCUGAACAACAAAAAUAAUGAUACUGAAGAGAUCUGAAAAUUUUAUAUUAGAGAAGAUAUCAGGAAUGCUUUCCUACUUCUUAUGUACAUUAAACAUUUUAAUAAGUUUUAAAAA